RNAcentral lists this transfer RNA (73 nucleotides) under Planctomycetota bacterium. RNAcentral describes it as "Planctomycetes bacterium tRNA-Ala". It matches the Rfam family "tRNA". Rfam says of the family: Transfer RNA (tRNA) molecules are approximately 80 nucleotides in length. Their secondary structure includes four short double-helical elements and three loops (D, anti-codon, and T loops). RNAcentral also lists the same sequence under 1 other name. Lineage: Bacteria; Pseudomonadati; Planctomycetota. The record is from RNAcentral.
GGGGGAUUAGCUCAGUUGGGAGAGCGCUACAAUGGCAUUGUAGAGGUCAGGGGUUCGAGUCCCCUAUCCUCCA